GACGAACGCUGGCGGCGUGCUUAACACAUGCAAGUCGAACGGGAUUUAGUAAACAGAAACCUCGGUGGAAGAUUACUAAUGAGAGUGGCGAACGGGUGAGUAACGCGUGAGCAACCUGCCUAUGACAGUGGGAUAGCCUCGGGAAACCGGGAUUAAUACCGCAUAAAAUCGUAGAAACACAUGUUUUAACGGUCAAAGAUUUAUCGGUCAUAGAUGGGCUCGCGUCUGAUUAGCUAGUUGGUGAGAUAACAGCCCACCAAGGCGACGAUCAGUAGCCGGUCUGAGAGGAUGAACGGCCACAUUGGAACUGAGACACGGUCCAAACUCCUACGGGAGGCAGCAGUGGGGAAUAUUGCACAAUGGGGGAAACCCUGAUGCAGCGACGCCGCGUGAACGAAGAAGGUAUUCGUAUCGUAAAGUUCUGUCCUAUGGGAAGAUAAUGACAGUACCAUAGAAGAAAGCGCCGGCUAAAUACGUG
Molecule: ribosomal RNA, 478 nt
Filed under: uncultured bacterium
Lineage: Bacteria
Description: partial 16S ribosomal RNA
Rfam family: Bacterial small subunit ribosomal RNA
Source: RNAcentral